CGGCUGUAGCUAAAUCGAUUUCAUGAGAUGUUUACUGGCCGGUCGUUGUGUUCUGUCGACAGAUCUGCUUACCGAGCUUCUCACAUUU
Molecule: small nucleolar RNA, 88 nt
Organism: Prunus persica (peach)
Lineage: Eukaryota; Viridiplantae; Streptophyta; Magnoliopsida; Rosales; Rosaceae
Rfam family: Small nucleolar RNA snoR109
Source: Rfam